GAUGAAGAACGUAGCGAAAUGCGAUAAGUAAUGUGAAUUGCAGAAUUCAGUGAAUCAUCGAAUCUUUGAACGCACAUUGCGCCCCUUGGUAUUCCGAGGGGCAUGCCUGUUCGAGCGUCAUUAUAACCCCUCAAGCUCAGCUUGGUGUUGGGGCCUGCUGCACUGGCAGCCCUUAAAAUCAGUGGCGGCGCCAUCUGGCUCUAAGCGUAGUAAUUCUUCUCGCUAUGGAGUCCUGGUGGAUGCUUGCCAUCAACCCCCAAUUUUUCUAUGGUUGACCUCGGAUCAGGCAGGGAUACCCGCUGAACUUAAGCAUAUCAAUAAGCGGAGGA
This 329-nucleotide unclassified non-coding RNA is filed under the name soil metagenome. RNAcentral describes it as "partial contains 5.8S ribosomal RNA, internal transcribed spacer 2, and large subunit ribosomal RNA". The stretch from base 1 to 120 matches the Rfam family "5.8S ribosomal RNA", at positions 35 to 154 of the family's 154-position model. The record is from RNAcentral.